GACGAACGCUGGCGGCGUGCUUAACACAUGCAAGUCGAACGGAAAGGCCCUGCUUGCAGGGUACUCGAGUGGCGAACGGGUGAGUAACACGUGGGUGAUCUGCCCUGCACUUCGGGACAAGCCUGGGAAACUGGGUCUAAUACCGGAUAGGAGCCAUUUUUAGUGUGAUGGUUGGAAAGUUUUUUCGGUGUAGGAUGAGCUCGCGGCCUAUCAGCUUGUUGGUGGGGUAAUGGCCUACCAAGGCGGCGACGGGUAGCCGGCCUGAGAGGGUGGACGGCCACAUUGGGACUGAGAUACGGCCCAGACUCCUACGGGAGGCAGCAGUGGGGAAGAUUGCACAAUGGGCGCAAGCCUGAUGCAGCGACGCCGCGGGGGGGAGGACGGCCUUCGGGUUGUAAACUCCUUUCGCUAGGGACGAAGCUUUUUGUGACGGUACCUAGAUAAGAAGCACCGGCUAACUACGUG
RNAcentral lists this ribosomal RNA (465 nucleotides) under uncultured bacterium. Its description in RNAcentral is "partial 16S ribosomal RNA". It matches the Rfam family "Bacterial small subunit ribosomal RNA", at positions 28 to 507 of the family's 1533-position model. The record is from RNAcentral.